UAAGCACUUCCAAUAAACACUGCCAUUGUCCAGCAGAACUGCACAACACCCAAAGAGAUGUCCCCGGAAAACCAAAGGUCACCUCUGUCCACUGGAAGAUAAGACAAAGUAAUUCUUCUGUACUACACUGGAGCAAAGCAUAUCACAAAAUUAUUCAGCCUGAACCAACGAGUCUUAGGUUGGGCUGGGGUGGAGGGGGUGGACGAGGUGCCGUACCUUUCAAGAAGCUUGACAUCCACAACAAUACAGACCUCAUUAAAAGACUGGUUUUUGAUUAAAUAAAAAGCCAAAGGGAAGGAUAUGGCUGUUAAUUGCAUGGGGCUGAUGCAAGAGCUGAAUCAACACAGAAGAGAGGUCAUUAAACCCAGCCGGUCCCCUUCGCCGCGUUUGUCUGACUGCCCCCCGAGCUGCCCCCCGCCCAACUGUUGUGCAAAUUCUGCCUUUAAUUUAACUUUGCAGUGUUGGGUUGCUGCAGUCCACCGGAAAUAAUCUUCCCCCAUCAUCUUCAAACCGCUGUUAUCCCCCCUGCUCGUAUUGUGCGGUCACGUACCCCCUUUGUUCAACUACCAAACUUCAAUUAAAAAAGGAGGAAUAUCUGGGCAUUCAUCAACUGAUUCAUUAUUUCGCAAUCCGGCACCAUCGUGGUUAUUUGGAUAGGUUGAUUAAUCUCUCUGUCAUGCAUCUAUAAAGACAUAUGAAGAUUACAUAUCAAAUAAAGACAGAAAAAAUAAUGAAAUAAAACCAUCAUCAAGACAUCGGCCAUCACAAAGAUAGAAGAAACGUUCAGAGCAUAGGAACGAGACCCAAAAGAUAUCUAAAUGAUCAGAUCUAAGUGUAUGGGUUGUAUACGUCAGAAUUAUGAAGAAAAAUAUGUUGGAUCGACAUUAUGAGCCCGCAUAUGGGAGGUCUUGAAGAUCAUCUAAUCUACGUUCUGGGAGUGAGAACUCGCACAUUAUUUAUGCUGACUGUGAAUUCUCAGCUGCACAAGCCUCAUUGUUUGCCGAGUCUAAAGGAAAGCAUUGUGCUCAACAUGUGUUUCUCAUGAAGACAUCUGUGUGCUGUACCGCAAAACUUGAAAAACAAAGUGAGGCUGAUGGAACGAGAGAGAAAAAGAGAUGUGCUGCAGAAGUUUGCGAAUUACUUUCAUGGUGUUUUGCUUUUAGUCUGACAUUGCAGAACGGCUCAUCUCAUCGUAAACAAGAACAUAUCUUGUUCCCUCUGCUAAAAUCAUUAAAUCUUCAGAAAAUGAUAUAUACAUAUUUAAUAAAGUCAUUUGGUGGUCGUGUAUACAGUAGCUGGACAAAGUUAUGUAAAUACAUAAACAGAUCAAAGAUUCAACUUUGUUUAAACUUGGUUUCCAAGGAAGUGAGGUCAUUUUUUAAGCCUGUGUGUCCACUUAUUUUUACCUGCUAUUAAAAGUCCAUAAGGAAUCGUUUCAGUCCUACAUGUUAUUCAAGCUUUACUCUGCAAGUUAAACAUAUCCAGACUGAAUCAAAUCCAUCACUGGCUGCUCUAUUCUGAAGGAGCCAUGAUAUAAUGCAGAUUUUUCUCUUAUUUUCUUUUCUUCUGUAUAUCCUGUAAUAAAUAUUGUGCAUAGUAAUCCUAAGCACAUUUGUGUUAUGGGGCAUGGUAAACCUGGACAUUAUUCUUGCUGCAGUCUUUCUUUGGAGAUGUUUACUAUGUGCACAUUUUUUACAGUCAAAUUUAUCAUUUGUAAAAUAACAGGUUUAAAUGCUUAUGGUUUAAACACUGGUUUAUGAAACAUGUAAACAUGAUUUAAAUAGAGCUUAAAUUUAUUGUAUAUUUUACAUUUCAUACAGUAAAUGUUCUUUGUCAGGCUGCAUUCAUUAAAGAGCACAUAUUGUCCGAUUCAUGAUUUUACAUUUCCUUUGGUGUGUACCGUGUGUAUAGUACAUUUUAAUGAUAUGCAAAAGGUACAAAUCCCAAACACUGAAACAAAUGAUUCAUUCAA
Paramisgurnus dabryanus is the source of this 1972-nucleotide non-coding RNA. Lineage: Eukaryota; Metazoa; Chordata; Actinopteri; Cypriniformes; Cobitidae. The record is from RefSeq and is a predicted model, not a curated record.